Pongo pygmaeus (Bornean orangutan) is the source of this 583-nucleotide long non-coding RNA. RefSeq lists it as uncharacterized. The transcript is spliced from 2 exons. The record is from RefSeq and is a predicted model, not a curated record. NCBI's taxonomy places the organism in Eukaryota, Metazoa, Chordata, Mammalia, Primates, Hominidae.
GCUGUCCUUGGCAUGGUCUGGAAGGCAAAGUACCGGGAGCUGCUCCUAUCAGAGCUCCUGGGCCGGUGGGCGCCUGUCGUGGUAUGGCUUGGCCUCACCUACCAUGUGCACGACCUCAUUGGGGCCCAGCUCGUGGACUGCAUCUCUACCACUUCGGGAACCCUCCUCCGCCUGCCAGAGACAUGAAGAUUCUGCUCAUCAUUGCUCAGCUCCUCAGAGUGGGCCGGGAGGGGACUAGAAGAGCUGCAUGAUGGUGGCUGAGACACGGUCGCCUUGGGAAGGCUUGGGAGCCGGGAUGAGUGUUGGGCUCUUGUGUGUGCAGAAGGUCAGAUGUGACUGCUGCUGUUUGCCUGGUUUCUGACCCAGUGGUGGGGUUUGAGCAAUGCUUCUCUGCCCUUCCAUGGAAAGUGGAACCAGAAAUGGUGCCAAGGCUGUGGCUGUUCCCUUUCGUGUAAAAUGGUGCUGUUAUUACUCUGUCUUGAAAUAGGAAGGUGGGAUUUCUGGGGAGGCUGGUGAAGGAGGGCAGGGUUCUUUUCCCUAUGCGUCAUGUUAAAAUUGCCAAAUAAAGUACCUCUGCCUGUGA